AGACAAUAGAUACCCAGGUAGUCCACGCCGUAAACGAUGCGCACUAGACCGGUGCGGCUCUGAUGCCGUAUCGGUCGUAGUAAAAACGUUAAGUGCGCCGCCUGGGGAGUACGGUCGCAAGGCUAAAACUCAAGGGAAUUGACGGGGGCUCACACAAGCGGUGGAGCAUGUUGCUUAAUUCGAGGCAACGCGAAGAACCUUACCUAGUCUUGACAUGCUUGGAUUAACUCCUUGAAAGAGGAGCCACACCCGCAAGGGUGGAACAAGCACAGGUGCUGCAUGGCUGUCGUCAGCUCGUGCUGUGAAGUGUCGGGUUAAGUCCCUUAACGAGCGCAACCCCGUAUCGUUAGUUGCCCACGGGUCAUGCCGGGUACUCUAGCGAGACUGCCGGUGUCAAACCGGAGGAAGGUGGGGAUGACGUCAAGUCCUCAUGGCCUUUAUGACUAGGGUUGCAAACGUGCUACAAUGGUGCGUACAAAGCGAUGCAAGACAGCGAUGUGGAGCAAAUCGCAAAAACGCGCACCCCGAGUUC
Molecule: ribosomal RNA, 532 nt
Filed under: uncultured bacterium
Lineage: Bacteria
Description: bacterial SSU rRNA
Rfam family: Bacterial small subunit ribosomal RNA
Source: RNAcentral